Molecule: ribosomal RNA, 1140 nt
Filed under: Shewanella putrefaciens
Lineage: Bacteria; Pseudomonadati; Pseudomonadota; Gammaproteobacteria; Alteromonadales; Shewanellaceae
Description: bacterial SSU rRNA
Rfam family: Bacterial small subunit ribosomal RNA
Source: RNAcentral
AGUACGGCUGGCGGCAGGCCUAACACAUGCGAGUCGAGCGGCAGCACAAGGGAGUUUACUCCUGAGGUGGCGAGCGGCGGACGGGUGAGUAAUGCCUAGGGAUCUGCCCAGUCGAGGGGGAUAACAGUUGGAAACGACUGCUAAUACCGCAUACGCCCUACGGGGGAAAGGAGGGGACCUUCGGGCCUUCCGCGAUUGGAUGAACCUAGGUGGGAUUAGCUAGUUGGUGAGGUAAUGGCUCACCAAGGCGACGAUCCCUAGCUGUUCUGAGAGGAUGAUCAGCCACACUGGGACUGAGACACGGCCCAGACUCCUACGGGAGGCAGCAGUGGGGAAUAUUGCACAAUGGGGGAAACCCUGAUGCAGCCAUGCCGCGUGUGUGAAGAAGGCCUUCGGGUUGUAAAGCACUUUCAGUAGGGAGGAAAGGGUAAGGUUUAAUACGCCUUAUCUGUGACGUUACCUACAGAAGAAGGACCGGCUAACUCCGUGCCAGCAGCCGCGGUAAUACGGAGGGUCCGAGCGUUAAUCGGAAUUACUGGGCGUAAAGCGUGCGCAGGCGGUUUGUUAAGCGAGAUGUGAAAGCCCUGGGCUCAACCUAGGAAUAGCAUUUCGAACUGGCGAACUAGAGUCUUGUAGAGGGGGGUAGAAUUCCAGGUGUAGCGGUGAAAUGCGUAGAGAUCUGGAGGAAUACCGGUGGCGAAGGCGGCCCCCUGGACAAAGACUGACGCUCAUGCACGAAAGCGUGGGGAGCAAACAGGAUUAGAUACCCUGGUAGUCCACGCCGUAAACGAUGUCUACUCGGAGUUUGGUGUCUUGAACACUGGGCUCUCAAGCUAACGCAUUAAGUAGACCGCCUGGGGAGUACGGCCGCAAGGUUAAAACUCAAAUGAAUUGACGGGGGCCCGCACAAGCGGUGGAGCAUGUGGUUUAAUUCGAUGCAACGCGAAGAACCUUACCUACUCUUGACAUCCACAGAACUUUCCAGAGAUGGAUUGGUGCCUUCGGGAACUGUGAGACAGGUGCUGCAUGGCUGUCGUCAGCUCGUGUGUGAAAUGUUGGGUUAAGUCCCGCAACGAGCGCACCCCUAUCCUUAUUUGCAGCACGUAAUGGUGGACUCUAGGAGACUGCGUGAUAACGAGA